This is a long non-coding RNA of Cucumis melo (muskmelon), 802 nucleotides long. RefSeq lists it as uncharacterized. Lineage: Eukaryota; Viridiplantae; Streptophyta; Magnoliopsida; Cucurbitales; Cucurbitaceae. The transcript is spliced from 3 exons. The record is from RefSeq and is a predicted model, not a curated record.
AAAUUCAACGAAAUGGCGGGAAACCCACCAUCAAGCCCUCAACCGUUCGAACCUUUUGAGAUUCCGAUUCUCAAUCAGUCUAUGCUCCAAUUUCACCAUCAACAGUUCUUUUUCUUCAAUUUUCAGUGAUUCGGUGUCACGACGCUAUUAAUUUCACCAUAAUAUACAAGCUUAGCCCCGAUCAACGUCGACCGGAUGGCGAUUCCGGUCGAACGAGGUUCGAGGAGCUGUGAUCUGAGUGGCCGCUUGAUCAAUUUAUCAAAAAAGUCAGGUCCAUAUAUGGGUUCUAUUAUGUAAUUAUAUGGGUCAGAUGGAUGAAAUUUGUGUUGCGAUUUGGUGUAUGACAGUGAUUGGAGUUCUUCGAAAUUAGGGCUUCGAUUUCAAACUGAAAUUUGGGGUUUCCGGAGGCUCAUCCUUUUCUGGAAAUAGAGGAAAUCCUCUUUGCUUAUUGUUCAUUAUGGAGCUUCUAAAUGCAACUUCCAACCGAGUCCUCGAAAAAAUUGAGGGCAAGUGAGAGAACAUAGAGAUUGAGUGCGCGUGCGAGAGCAAGAGGAAAAAACAGGAGUGAGAGCAUGAAACAAGUAAGUACAAAAAAACAGUUUUCUGUUCUCUAAAAGAAUUGGGUCAAAUCUCAUUUUGGUGCAGUAAUUUUCUAAAGUCAUUUACACCAAAUACCCAAAUAGUAUGUUGUUUGCGCACAUUGUCUUUAUGGAAUUUGUAAAGUGGAAAAAGUCGGGAUUCGUACAUGAAUGUUGUUUGUUCUGCAUAGAAAAUAUAUAUUCGUGAAAUUUGACUGUUGUUA